RNAcentral lists this long non-coding RNA (214 nucleotides) under Ananas comosus (pineapple). Its description in RNAcentral is "long non-coding RNA (ACOM_LNC035009)". The record is from RNAcentral. Lineage: Eukaryota; Viridiplantae; Streptophyta; Magnoliopsida; Poales; Bromeliaceae.
ACUGCGAAACUGAUGUUUGUGGUUUUGUAGUCCACUCUGUUGGAUAGGAUCCGAGAGAAACAGAGUGGAGAUCCGUACUUGUCGAGGAUUCGAGAGCAGCUAGACCGGAGACAGGCUGAGGGCUUUUCUGUGGACAGUUCGGGAGUACUGCGGUACAGGGACCGACUGUGUGUGCCUGCGGAUUCAGGAAUCCGAGAGUACAUUUUGAGAGAGG